This 349-nucleotide unclassified non-coding RNA is filed under the name soil metagenome. Its description in RNAcentral is "partial contains 5.8S ribosomal RNA, internal transcribed spacer 2, and large subunit ribosomal RNA". The stretch from base 1 to 120 matches the Rfam family "5.8S ribosomal RNA", at positions 35 to 154 of the family's 154-position model. The record is from RNAcentral.
GAUGAAGAACGCAGCGAGAUGCGAUACGUAAUGUGAAUUGCAGAAUUCAGUGAAUCAUCGAGUCUUUGAACGCACAUUGCGCCCCCUGGUAUUCCGGGGGGCAUGCCUGUCCGAGCGUCAUUGCUGCCCUCAAGCACGGCUUGUGUGUUGGGCCUCCGCCCCCCGGCUCCCGGGGGGCGGGCCCGAAAGGCAGCGGCGGCACCGCGUCCGGUCCUCGAGCGUAUGGGGCUUCGUCACCCGCUCCGUAGGCCCGGCCGGCGCCCGCCGGCGACCCCCCUCAAUCUUUCCAGGUUGACCUCGGAUCAGGUAGGGAUACCCGCUGAACUUAAGCAUAUCAAUAAGCGGAGGA